GUGUGUGUGUGUGUGUGUGUGUUUGUGUUGAUUGUGUGUAUUCUAGUACUCUGUUCUUAGUAGCUUCUCCGUUUCGUCGUAGGUUUUAGUUUUAAGCCAUUUAGUGAGAUGUAAUUUACAUUCGUGGUAUGUUUUUGAAUGAAUAUCUAAUUCUCUGUUAAUUUUGUUAUAAAGGUAGGACGACUUUGAAUUAAACUGCGAUCUUGCAAAAUAGGUUCUCGUACGUAAAGAUUUAGGUACAUUGACCAUAUUUCUUUUGUUUUUAUAAUUAGGGUUGUAGGGUAUUAGUUUGUGUUUUUUCAAUAUUGAUUGCAGAACAUAUAAUUUCCUAACUGAUAGAAGGUCACUGGUUUGAUAAAGCAUUUCAGUAGGGUAUCUAAUUUUUUUGAAGUACAUCAUUUUUAUGAGUGCACGUUGUGCCCUUUCAAGAUAGAUAAAACGACUUUUCGCUGCACCACCCCAGAUCGUUAUGCAGUACAAUAAGACAGAUUGCACCAGAGAGACAUAAAUUUCGUUUAAGAUGUUGCGAGGCUUUGUAAGAUUUGUUUUACCUGCAGUUUUCUGACUCUGCCGAUUAUUUGGUCAAGGUGAGAAUACCAGUUUAAAUGCUCGUCCAGUUGUAUACCCAAAUACUUAGUUUCAGAGACUUUUUCAAUAGUUGGACAGUUACAAGUAGAAAAAUUAA
Long non-coding RNA from Cydia fagiglandana, 685 nucleotides. RefSeq lists it as uncharacterized. Lineage: Eukaryota; Metazoa; Arthropoda; Insecta; Lepidoptera; Tortricidae. The transcript has 3 exons. The record is from RefSeq and is a predicted model, not a curated record.